Molecule: ribosomal RNA, 530 nt
Filed under: uncultured bacterium
Lineage: Bacteria
Description: partial 16S ribosomal RNA
Rfam family: Bacterial small subunit ribosomal RNA
Source: RNAcentral
ACUCAAAGGAAUUGACGGGGGCCCGCACAAGCGGUGGAGCAUGUGGUUUAAUUCGACGCAACGCGAAGAACCUUACCCGGGCUUGACAUGCACGGGCAAGCCUCGAGAAACCGAGGCCCCUCUUCGGAGUCCGUGCACAGGUGCUGCAUGGCUGUCGUCAGCUCGUGUCGUGAGAUGUUGGGUUAAGUCCCGCAACGAGCGCAACCCCCGCGUCCAGUUGCUAGCAGCGGCCCUCCUUGGUAACAGGGAGAUCAGCCGGCUGAGGACUCUGGGCGGACUGCCGGUGCCAAACCGGAGGAGGGUGGGGACGACGUCAAGUCAUCAUGGCCCUUACGUCCGGGGCUACACACGUGCUACAAUGGGUCGUACAGCGGGUCCGUGCAAAGGGGCGACCCGGAGCCAAUCCCUGAAAGCGACCCCCAGUUCGGAUUGGAGGCUGCAACCCGCCUCCAUGAAGCCGGAAUCGCUAGUAAUCGCGGAUCAGCCACGCCGCGGUGAAUACGUUCCCGGGCCUUGUACACACCGCCCGU